Molecule: long non-coding RNA, 1019 nt
Filed under: Homo sapiens (human)
Lineage: Eukaryota; Metazoa; Chordata; Mammalia; Primates; Hominidae
Description: non-protein coding lnc-LRRC24-3:2
Source: RNAcentral
AGACUUUGCUGUGCUACCUGGAGCUGCACCCACACCACUGGCUGGAGCUGCUGGCGACCACCUAUACCCAUUGCCGUCUGAACUGCCCUGGGGGCCCUGCCCAGCUCCAGGCCCUGGCCCACAGGUAAGCACGCCCUGCCCAGUUGGAGACGAGGUUGGAGAAUCAGGGCUGUUGGCCACAUGUCCCUUUUUCCCUGGGCACAGGUGUCCCCCUUUGGCUGUGUGCUUGGCCCAGCAGCUGCCUGAGGACCCAGGGCAAGGCAGCAGCUCCGUGGAGUUUGACAUGGUCAAGCUGGUGGACUCCAUGGGCUGGGAGCUGGCCUCUGUGCGGCGGGCUCUCUGCCAGCUGCAGUGGGACCACGAGCCCAGGACAGGUGCGCCUCUCCCCACCCCACACCGCCCUGGACGCUGCCUGCCUGCAUCUGACAUGCUUUCCGGCAGGUGUGCGGCGUGGGACAGGGGUGCUUGUGGAGUUCAGUGAGCUGGCCUUCCACCUUCGCAGCCCGGGGGACUUGACCGCUGAGGAGAAGGACCAGAUAUGUGACUUCCUCUAUGGCCGUGUGCAGGCCCGGGAGCGCCAGGCCCUGGCCCGUCUGCGCAGAACCUUCCAGGCCUUUCACAGGUUGGGAGGAGGCGGGCGGGGCCUGGGACCAUCCACCCUCCCGCAGUGAUCAGCUCUGACAGGCUCCUCCCCACAGCGUAGCCUUCCCCAGCUGCGGGCCCUGCCUGGAGCAGCAGGAUGAGGAGCGCAGCACCAGGCUCAAGGACCUGCUCGGCCGCUACUUUGAGGAAGAGGAAGGGCAGGAGCCGGGAGGCAUGGAGGACGCACAGGGCCCCGAGCCAGGGCAGGCCAGACUCCAGGAUUGGGAGGACCAGGUCCGCUGCGACAUCCGCCAGUUCCUGUCCCUGAGGCCAGAGGAGAAGUUCUCCAGCAGGGCUGUGGCCCGCAUCUUCCACGGCAUCGGUGAGGCCUGGGAGGCCCCACCCGCUGCAGGCUGGGGCUGGGGGCUGGGGCAGGU